RNAcentral lists this transfer RNA (71 nucleotides) under Metasalis populi. RNAcentral's name for it is "tRNA-Lys". It matches the Rfam family "tRNA". Rfam says of the family: Transfer RNA (tRNA) molecules are approximately 80 nucleotides in length. The record is from RNAcentral. Lineage: Eukaryota; Metazoa; Arthropoda; Insecta; Hemiptera; Tingidae.
CAUUAAGUGGCUGAAAGUAAAGUAAUGGUCUCUUAAACCAAAUUAAAGUAAUUAACGACUACUCUUAAUGA